AUUAAACUACUUGCUCCUUCCCCAAUCCCUCAGCUCCUCUCUCUCCUCUUCUUCUCCUCUACUCUCAAACCUCUCUUUUCUAGCUUCCCCUUCUCUAUAAUCUGAUCUCUCCGCAACAUUACAUAAUGCUGUUAAAUAUAUUAAUUAGUAUGAUUUAAAUAAAUGCCGCGGCGUUUAGUAAUAAGUGCUGCUAUUUUGUUACAUUUAAUAUCAUUUUUUUAUAAAAGGUUAGAAAUUUCAACGGCAUUCAUUAAUUUAUUCUGCUAAUUUAUCCGAUUUUAUAAUAUUAAUAAUAAAUUAUUAAAUAUAGCAAUAAUUAUCAAAUAAUACUGUUAAAUAUAUUAAUUAACAUGUAUGA
RNAcentral lists this long non-coding RNA (358 nucleotides) under Ananas comosus (pineapple). RNAcentral describes it as "long non-coding RNA (ACOM_LNC001247)". Lineage: Eukaryota; Viridiplantae; Streptophyta; Magnoliopsida; Poales; Bromeliaceae. The record is from RNAcentral.